Molecule: ribosomal RNA, 665 nt
Filed under: Flavobacteria bacterium 7583
Lineage: Bacteria; Pseudomonadati; Bacteroidota; Flavobacteriia
Description: bacterial SSU rRNA
Rfam family: Bacterial small subunit ribosomal RNA
Source: RNAcentral
AUGCAAGUCGAACGGUAACAGGGAGAAGCUUGCUUUUCCGCUGACGACCGGCGCACGGGUGCGUAACGCGUAUACAAUCUGCCUUAUACUGGGGUAUAGCCUUUAGAAAUGAAGAUUAAUCCCCCAUAGUCUCUUAGAGUGGCAUCAUUUUAGGAGUAAAGGUUACGGUAUAAGAUGAGUAUGCGUUCUAUUAGUUUGUUGGUGAGGUAACGGCUCACCAAGGCUACGAUAGAUAGGGGCCCUGAGAGGGGGAUCCCCCACACUGGUACUGAGACACGGACCAGACUCCUACGGGAGGCAGCAGUGAGGAAUAUUGGACAAUGGAGGCAACUCUGAUCCAGCCAUGCCGCGUGCAGGAAGACUGCCCUAUGGGUUGUAAACUGCUUUUAUAUAGGAAGAAACCUACUUACGUGUAAGUAGCUGACGGUACUAUAAGAAUAAGGAUCGGCUAACUCCGUGCCAGCAGCCGCGGUAAUACGGAGGAUCCAAGCGUUAUCCGGAAUCAUUGGGUUUAAAGGGUCCGUAGGUGGAUAAUUAAGUCAGAGGUGAAAUCUUGCAGCUCAACUGUAAAAUUGCCUUUGAUACUGGUUAUCUUGAGUUAUUAUGAAGUAGUUAGAAUAUGUAGUGUAGCGGUGAAAUGCAUAGAUAUUACAUAGAAUACCAUU